RNAcentral lists this non-coding RNA (30 nucleotides) under Mus musculus (house mouse). Lineage: Eukaryota; Metazoa; Chordata; Mammalia; Rodentia; Muridae. The record is from RNAcentral.
GAUACAUACACUACUCAUGGGAUUUUGGGA